This 214-nucleotide unclassified non-coding RNA is filed under the name Clostridioides difficile. RNAcentral's name for it is "16S-23S ribosomal RNA intergenic spacer (ISR)". The record is from RNAcentral. Lineage: Bacteria; Bacillati; Bacillota; Clostridia; Peptostreptococcales; Peptostreptococcaceae.
ACCUACUGUUUAAUUUUGAGGGUUCGUUUUUACGAAUACUCAAAAUUAGCACUUUAAGCAACGGGAUUUAUCCGUUGGCGCCGUGCUUUAGCACUUUGAAAACUGCAUAUAUAUUUAGUGAUAUGACAUCUAAUUUGUAAUAUAUAAAGCUGAUAACUUUUAAAAAUUAUCAAGUUGAUAGACUUUAAUCUAUCAAACCUUUUUAACUGGUCAA